This 255-nucleotide long non-coding RNA is filed under the name Zostera marina. RNAcentral describes it as "long non-coding RNA (ZMAR_LNC001139)". The record is from RNAcentral. Lineage: Eukaryota; Viridiplantae; Streptophyta; Magnoliopsida; Alismatales; Zosteraceae.
GCUCGCUCUCACAACGGAGGCGUACACACUCUCUCGAGCAGAGGAUUCGCGGAAGCUCGCGCUGACUUCCUUUCUUUCUUUUCAAUCCACCGACGUUCUCAAAUAGAUAUCUCCAGUCGUCCCCAUUUCUUCUUCCUUUGUGGAAUAGGAGAUGUCCAGGGCUUCGGGGAUGGUAGCUAGGAGGACGACGGUGAUAUUGGAGCCGAUUGUUGGGCGAGACGUGCUGUGGAGAUGGCCGGAGUUUCUUUAUUUUCC